AAGUCGUAACAAGGUAACCGUAGGUGAACCUGCGGUUGGAUCAUUAACAAAAUGUUGCCCUACCUACCCUCUCGGGGGUAUGGUAAGGUAAAAACACCAUUGUCAACUUUAUGCGGGAGUCUUUGGACUCUUGUAUUCUCAACUAGAUUUUUAUAUUGUAACAAACUCUAAAGUUGUAUUGACUUUAAAAAUUAAUAUUAAACAACUUUUGGCAACGGAUCUCUAGGCUCUU
Molecule: unclassified non-coding RNA, 232 nt
Filed under: fungal sp.
Lineage: Eukaryota; Fungi
Description: partial internal transcribed spacer region
Rfam family: Eukaryotic small subunit ribosomal RNA (bases 1-46)
Source: RNAcentral